AAAAAAUAAAAUAAAAUAAAAAUACAACUAUACAUUUGGCCAAAAAAAAAAUCUCUCAAAUUUAUCAUUAAACUUUUGUAAACUAGCAACUCUCAAUACUGACACUUGGUGUCUAGAAAUCCAAAAAGGAAUCCACAUUAACUCAUUUAAGUCAUUUAUCUUGGCUUCCAUCAAUCAAAUGUAGGAAUUGACAAGGAUCUGUGGCAAGGUGCUGCAUUAGAAAAAAAAAUUGCACCUUCGUAUGAAUUCAGGUAAUUCAUUUACAAGUUUCUAACUUUAAGGUUAUGAUAGGAAGAUCAGGUCAUGUUUCUAAAAAUUCUGCAGACUGAAUUGUCCUUGUAAGCUCCUUCAAAUUAGCCAGCACAUGGCGGGGUCCUAAACUCUUUACACCAAUAAAAUUCAAAAGUUGCUCCAAAUCCUACAACCAUCAGAAGAUAUUAGUCAUUUGGAACAAGCCACCAUAACAACAUUAAGAAAAGCCAACUCACAAAAACAAAACUAGAGAAGCUAACUGUAACUUAAAAUAUUAUACUAAUGCACCUAUAUUCUGCAAGAAUUUUAUCAAAACAGCAUCAGUUAACAGAUAAUUCUCUUAUUUUAAGAGGCUUGCAAGACGUGCUACCAUACCUCCUUCUCAGCCCCCAACCCCUAAAUUCUGUGAUUCACCAAAAAGUUGAACUCGAAAAGUGAAACAUGUAAAAAAUGGUGGGAAGCAAAUAAGAGAUGUUGGAGUUCCGAGAACAGAUCACCACCAUCAUCUAAGUAGAGGAUUCCUCAAAUAAGAAUAUCAUUAUCCAGAAAAAUUGCCAAACAGAACAAGACAAAACAAAAUUAAUGAAGAGCCAGACAUAAACCAAUAUUUUGGGGCAGAGUUAAGAAUAUUAAAAUAAUAUAAGAUGCAGUCCCUGAAAUCCAGCUCUAAAGUAGAUAGGGAAAGAGUCAGAGACCAAUUGAUGCGAACUUAGGAUUCAUAUCACCGAUGUUACCUUGUUUAACAGAAAAACAGCAUAAGCUGCUCGUGUUGUUUCUUGACCUUCCAAAAAGAGGGGAAAUUCAACUGCCUUCGUAUUCACAUUGGAUGAUGAACUCAAUAAAAGGUCAGAUGAUGUAGGCUCCACAGAAGGUGCGUAGUCAUUAAUAAAAGAUCGAGAACCACCCAAGCGCACAGGAUAACGCAAAGGAACUUCUAAGUAGGAAGAAACGAGUGAAACAGCAUGUGCAACAUAUCCCAGGGCAGUUGCAGACUUCUGGACUUCCUUCUUGUCGGUAAAAAAACUCAUCUUUGUGAAAGGAAGCAUAGUCAAAUGCAGACCUAAAACUGUCAAAGAUCCUUCAUUGGUUGGUUUAGAUCCAGUGUAGAUCCCUGAUUUACUAGUGCUUGGAAAUGAUUCAAGCUCUUGCUCCUCUGAAGGUCCAGCUGAUAUCUUUACUGGAUAAAGCAAUGAAAUUUGUGAUAUCAUAUACUGCUGCCUCAUUCUUAGCUUCUUCUGCAGGUUUCUGAGACGACCAUAACCCCUCUCUCCAGAAAGUGACCUCUUUGAUUCCUGAAGUUGCUUGCUAGCUACGGAAAGAGAAGAACCAGCAACCAACAGAGAUUUGACUUCCACACCAAGCCUCUCUUCUUCCUUUUUAGCAUCCUCAGCUGAAACCUUAGAACUCAACGAUAUGCUUUCCAUUGCCAAUUUUCUGGCUUCCAAUCGCUGGCGCAUCUCCUCAAGCUCAUUCAAUCGACUUAAUGACUUGGCUUCAACCUGCCCACCAUGUUGCCGCCCGCUAACCCGCGGGCUAAUCAAUUAACGCCCAAUAAAUCCAUAAAGGAAGAAAAGAGGACAAAGAGCAGGUAAGACAUCGCCAAAAAGCAAAGGAAUCACCUCCAUAUUUAUUCUUUUAAUUAAAUUUAUGUUUUCAUUUAUUAUCAGCCUAAUUAUUAUCAACUUUCAUGUUUCAAAUAGAAUUCAAAUUGAAGGUAAGACAAAUGUAAAUUCAACUGUUCCACCAAUUUAUCAAGCAAGCAUUAUAGAUUCUUCAUUUCUUACCACUCGUUAAGCUAGAAAACAAAAUCAUGAAAAUCCCCACUAAAUAGCAGCUCUAGACAGAUACAUUAUACAUAUUUUAGUAAUAGGUAAAACCCUAAUACAAUAGAAUGCACAAUUUUCACCCUCAUUUCUUCUCCUUCAUCGUCUAAGCAAUCAAACAGAGCCAACUUCUACAGUCCGAAUGGACAGUAAAUCCCAAUAGAAAAAAAAAACCAAUUUCAAAAAACCCAGAAAGAAAAAACCCUACCUGAAUGAAAGAGUUGAGCUUUUGCUGAAGACUUAGCUUCUUUUCCUCGGAUUCUUUGAGGGCCGAGGAGAGGCUCCACAACUUCGCAACUUCCUGCUCGUAACCUUCCCAUUCGAUCAAUUUCACUUUCUCUGAUUUGCUCGCCUUCGUUGGAUCUGAAGAAAGAGUUCGAUCUUCUUCCAUCAAUAUCUGAAAUCGAAAAUUUAAUAAUGUGGCUCAAUAAGAGGUCAAGGCCUGACCUCAUCGUUCUACAGAUAGAAUGUAUUACUGCUUGGAGAUCAUCGAACCAUGAGUGUUUCGUUCGGGGAUUCGGCAAAAUCGGAAGGGAAAGAGAAGACUGGUAGGUUGCGGGUUUUUUU
This 2642-nucleotide unclassified non-coding RNA is filed under the name Hevea brasiliensis (rubber tree). The record is from RNAcentral. Lineage: Eukaryota; Viridiplantae; Streptophyta; Magnoliopsida; Malpighiales; Euphorbiaceae.